UUAAAUUGAAGAGUUUGAUCAUGGCUCAGAUUGAACGCUGGCGGCAGGCCUAACACAUGCAAGUCGAACGGUAACAGGAAGCAGCUUGCUGCUUCGCUGACGAGUGGCGGACGGGUGAGUAAUGUCUGGGAAGCUGCCUGAUGGAGGGGGAUAACUACUGGAAACGGUAGCUAAUACCGCAUAAUGUCGCAAGACCAAAGAGGGGGACCUUCGGGCCUCUUGCCAUCGGAUGUGCCCAGAUGGGAUUAGCUAGUAGGUGGGGUAACGGCUCACCUAGGCGACGAUCCCUAGCUGGUCUGAGAGGAUGACCAGCCACACUGGAACUGAGACACGGUCCAGACUCCUACGGGAGGCAGCAGUGGGGAAUAUUGCACAAUGGGCGCAAGCCUGAUGCAGCCAUGCCGCGUGUAUGAAGAAGGCCUUCGGGUUGUAAAGUACUUUCAGCGGGGAGGAAGGGAGUAAAGUUAAUACCUUUGCUCAUUGACGUUACCCGCAGAAGAAGCACCGGCUAACUCCGUGCCAGCAGCCGCGGUAAUACGGAGGGUGCAAGCGUUAAUCGGAAUUACUGGGCGUAAAGCGCACGCAGGCGGUUUGUUAAGUCAGAUGUGAAAUCCCCGGGCUCAACCUGGGAACUGCAUCUGAUACUGGCAAGCUUGAGUCUCGUAGAGGGGGGUAGAAUUCCAGGUGUAGCGGUGAAAUGCGUAGAGAUCUGGAGGAAUACCGGUGGCGAAGGCGGCCCCCUGGACGAAGACUGACGCUCAGGUGCGAAAGCGUGGGGAGCAAACAGGAUUAGAUACCCUGGUAGUCCACGCCGUAAACGAUGUCGACUUGGAGGUUGUGCCCUUGAGGCGUGGCUUCCGGAGCUAACGCGUUAAGUCGACCGCCUGGGGAGUACGGCCGCAAGGUUAAAACUCAAAUGAAUUGACGGGGGCCCGCACAAGCGGUGGAGCAUGUGGUUUAAUUCGAUGCAACGCGAAGAACCUUACCUGGUCUUGACAUCCACGGAAGUUUUCAGAGAUGAGAAUGUGCCUUCGGGAACCGUGAGACAGGUGCUGCAUGGCUGUCGUCAGCUCGUGUUGUGAAAUGUUGGGUUAAGUCCCGCAACGAGCGCAACCCUUAUCCUUUGUUGCCAGCGGUCCGGCCGGGAACUCAAAGGAGACUGCCAGUGAUAAACUGGAGGAAGGUGGGGAUGACGUCAAGUCAUCAUGGCCCUUACGACCAGGGCUACACACGUGCUACAAUGGCGCAUACAAAGAGAAGCGACCUCGCGAGAGCAAGCGGACCUCAUAAAGUGCGUCGUAGUCCGGAUUGGAGUCUGCAACUCGACUCCAUGAAGUCGGAAUCGCUAGUAAUCGUGGAUCAGAAUGCCACGGUGAAUACGUUCCCGGGCCUUGUACACACCGCCCGUCACACCAUGGGAGUGGGUUGCAAAAGAAGUAGGUAGCUUAACCUUCGGGAGGGCGCUUACCACUUUGUGAUUCAUGACUGGGGUGAAGUCGUAACAAGGUAACCGUAGGGGAACCUGCGGUUGGAUCACCUCCUUACCUUAAAGAAGC
RNAcentral lists this ribosomal RNA (1556 nucleotides) under Escherichia coli. RNAcentral's name for it is "bacterial SSU rRNA". It matches the Rfam family "Bacterial small subunit ribosomal RNA". Lineage: Bacteria; Pseudomonadati; Pseudomonadota; Gammaproteobacteria; Enterobacterales; Enterobacteriaceae. The record is from RNAcentral.